AUGUUCAAUUCAAAUUAAAAAGUCCCUUGAUAAGGAUGAAAGAUGUUUUCAGGCCUGACAAUACACAUAUGAUUAAAACAUGGCCUCCUAUUUCUUGGGAUCUAAACACUGGUUUUU
Molecule: small nuclear RNA, 117 nt
Organism: Cavia aperea (Brazilian guinea pig)
Lineage: Eukaryota; Metazoa; Chordata; Mammalia; Rodentia; Caviidae
Source: Ensembl